GUAGGAUGCAAGCGUUGUCCGGAUUUAUUGGGCGUAAAGAGUUCGUAGGUGGUUCGUUAAGUCUGAUGUUAAAGACUGGGGCUCAACCCUGGAAGUGCAUUGGAUACUGGCGGACUUGAGUGUGGUAGAGGCAAUCGGAAUUCCAGGUGUAGCGGUGAAAUGCGUAGAUAUCUGGAAGAACACCGGUGGCGCAAGCGGAUUGCUGGGCCAUAACUGACACUGAGGAACGAAAGCUAGGGGAGCGAAUGGGAUUAGAUACCCCAGUAGUCCUAGCCGUAAACGAUGGAUACUAGGCGUAUCGGGUAUCGACCCCUGAUGUGCCGCAGCUAACGCGAUAAGUAUCCCGCCUGAGUAGUACGGCCGCAAGGUUG
Molecule: ribosomal RNA, 371 nt
Filed under: uncultured bacterium
Lineage: Bacteria
Description: bacterial SSU rRNA
Rfam family: Bacterial small subunit ribosomal RNA
Source: RNAcentral